ACUCUGGUUUUGGAAACAGUUCGAUGAAAUGGAUGUUGUACUCAGGAGUGUUUACGUUAGAAUGUUCUUCUGGACGGUGGCCAAACCUCCUUGGCUAGGUAAAAAUGUAUCCAGGUAACUUAAUACUGUGUUGGGUUUUGCAGAGGACAGGGCUAACUGUCCUCUGUAAAAGAAUUAAAAUAAAAUAGGAAGAAUUCUGAAUAAGGAAUCAAGUAAGAAACCAAUUCCCUGUAUAAAAUUAGAGCAUAAAAAUUUUAUAAUUUUUUUUUGUUGUUUUAAAGUAUUGCCUUGACCUCUUUUUGGAUGUUUUGCUCUGAGGCUCACCCUUCUGGAUGUGCCAAGCUGUUAAUAUAUAAAAUACAUUGUUUAACACUGAUGAGGUAGAAGCUGCCAAGAAAGAGUUAAGUGCCAUGGUGAGCAACAGCAUUUUCAGAAAUUGCCUGGAACAAUGGGUUUUUUUUCCAGGAAAGAUGUAUUAAAGGGAUUGCAGAACAUGCUAAUAGUCUCUAAAUGUCAAGUCCAGCAUCCUGACAGAUGAUUUCAUCACACAAGGGUUUUAGUUUUUUCCCCCAAUUCUGCAGAAGAUGUUUACGUGCUACUGCCUCUCUCUGCUGUAGUAGCGAUGCAGAGCUCCAGUUAAUGUGUUAAAUACAUGAAGAUUUUGUUGUUAUUUUACAUUUAACAUGUUUUAAAAUCUAUUUUAAAUCCUCGGGCUCAUUAACCUUCUGCUGUGUAUUGAAGAGUCUUCUGUAGUCUAACUGUAAGCUUGUUUUUCCAGAUCCAAGUAUUUUAGAACAUGUUCAACAGGAGAACACUUCACCAUAGAGUUUGAGAACCUGGUGGAAAGCGAUGAGGGGGAAAGCCCAGGAAGCAGCCACAGGUAAGACUUUGAGACCGAGGACCUCUCCUUCCCUCUGCUGUUCCACU
Molecule: non-coding RNA, 927 nt
Organism: Cyanistes caeruleus (blue tit)
Lineage: Eukaryota; Metazoa; Chordata; Aves; Passeriformes; Paridae
Source: RefSeq, a predicted model, not a curated record